CCCCUAAUUAGCGAAGCUCUGCCUCGUUAUUAUAACCAGGAAGUCACAAAGGAAAGACCUAUAAUAGCAAUUGAUUGAGUCUUUGUAAUUCUACAAUUACUGCCGGUAUGUUGGGGUUUUGUAUACAAAAUGUAACUUCAUGUAAAGCCAAUAAAAGCCAGCUGGAGAGCACUGAAGGCUUAGAAAACUGGCAAUAAAAGUUACCUAAUUAAAAAGGAGAAAUAUUUUCAAUAAUUGGGGUUAUUCCCUAUAGAUGUACCAAAAUGAAAAUCGGGUUUUGUCCCACUUAUAAAUGUAUUAUCAAAGAAACCUGGGUUUAUCCCAUUUCUUUAAUUUAAAUAUUUUUGGUGUUUAACUCUGAUAAAAAUAUUUCCUAACUACGGUCCUGAUGAAAUUUUCCGCUGCCAAAUUAAUAAACACCGAUACCACUGAAACUGGCUCACGGCCGCCCGCUCCCGGAAUAGGGGUCGGGGGUUGUGAC
RNAcentral lists this long non-coding RNA (481 nucleotides) under Helianthus annuus (common sunflower). The record is from RNAcentral. Lineage: Eukaryota; Viridiplantae; Streptophyta; Magnoliopsida; Asterales; Asteraceae.